RNAcentral lists this long non-coding RNA (2047 nucleotides) under Phaseolus vulgaris (common bean). Its description in RNAcentral is "long non-coding RNA (PVUL_LNC002612)". The record is from RNAcentral. Lineage: Eukaryota; Viridiplantae; Streptophyta; Magnoliopsida; Fabales; Fabaceae.
AAAAAUGAGAGUGUUGUCGUCGGGGUGGUGAAGGGUGGGGUUUUUGUGGCCGUGGUAAGGUUUAAGUAAAGCAAUGUGAAGCAACCACUCCUAUGCAUUUGAUGAUGCGAUAUGGACCAUAAUAUUUUCGAAUGAGUUUGUGGUGAGGCUUGGAAGAGAGGGAAAAUUGUUGGUAUGCUUUUCGUCGUAGUGGCACCCAAUUGUUAAUGUUGAAGACGUAGUCGUGAUUUGUUUGCAAUUUGGGCCAUGCGAUGUUGAGUGUGAGCGAGGGUGGUCUUCAAAUGGUGCAUUAUCUAUGUGCACUCUUGUAAGGUAGUGGCGAGAGCUGGUUCUGUUGUCGUGCUCGAAAUGUAGUCUGAUAUGGAAGGUGGAGGUCGCCCAUAAAGCGCUUGGAAAGGUGUAGUAUUGAUUGCGGUAUGGUAGGACGAGUUAUACCAAAACUCAACAAGGUGUAAGUACUUGUACCAUGUCCUCGGAUGGUCACUUGCGAAGGUAAAUUUCUAAUCCUCUAUUUAUGACUUCCGUUUGACCAUCUGUUUGAGGAUGAUAGGCGGUGCUAAAUUUGAGUUUGGUGCCUUGUAGGUGAAAAUGUUGCUUCCAAAAAAUUACUGAGUAAGAGUGAGUCUCUAUCGAAGAUGAUGGAUUUGGGAAUGUCGUGCAACCUACAAAUCUCAACAGAAAACGGUUAGCCAAUUGGGAUACGGUGAAGGAGGUGGGUAAUGCUAUGAGGUGGACAGAUUUGGACAAAAGAUCACAUAUGACCCAUAUCACCGUGUGGCUAAAUGUGUUAUGAAAUCUGUGGUGAGCUCAUCCCAAAUUUGGGUUGGUGAGGGAUUGGGUUGUAAAAGACCUAAGGGUUUGUUGUUGACUUGUUUAUUUUUUUUGGCAAGGGAGACAUUGUUUGAUGAACGAUUUGACAUCUCUAUACAUCCCUGGCCAAUAUAAGGACGCGGCUAGGCGAGCCACAAUGGCUUUAAGGCCCGAGUGUCCAACAGAGGGGGUGGCAUGGAACUAGUGAAGUAUGGUGGUGUGCAGAGAUUAUAUGGAUGUUAGAUAUAGUCUUCGGUCGAGAUACAAAAGAUCGUUUUGAAAGGUAUAUUCUUUGUUUUGAGAAGCUGUAACUUUGUGUACUUCUUGUUUCCCCAAUUUUGACUGGUAAUAUUUUUUUAAUUGCAAGAGGAUUUCUAGGAUUGGGGAGGAGAUGGCCAAAAAAAUAGAAGUGGGUGACCGAGAGAGGAAAUAAACUGCUUGAUUGUGGCGGUCUGGGCGGUACAAAAUAUAAAAAAUGUAACCAAUGAGUUUGGUGGCCAUUUUUGUUGCUCUAGAGUAGAACAUGCCUUGGUAAGUAACCCCUUAAGACUUCUGUGAGAAUUUGGAAAUGAUUGUCAAUUAGGUAGUGUCUCCAUUUUUUUAUUGCCUUAGUGAUUGCGAGCAUUUCUUUGACAUGCACUAAAUUAUAAUGUAUUUUGGAACAUAGCUUCUUGCUGAAGAAAGCAAUGGGAUGACCAGCUUGGGAGAGAACUGUGCCAAUGACAGAAUUGGAGGCAUCUUUUUCAACCACAAACGAAAGAGAAAAAUCUAGAAGAUGUAGAACAAAGAGUGUAGUUAGGAAUUUCUUAAAUUGUAAAAAGGUCUUUUGUGCCUCUUCAUUCCAUGUAAAAACUUUGAAUUUUAGUAAAUCCGUGAAUGGAGGGGCAAGAAUGGCAUAACCGUGUAUAAAUUUGUGAUAAAACUCGGUAAUUCCCAAAAAAACGCGGAGAGUGGUGAGAGAGGUAGGUUUGGGCCAAAGAAGUAUGGCCUGAAUCUUGUCUGGGUCAGGAGCAACAGUCCCUGCUUGAAUGAUAUGGCCCAAAUAGAAAACCCUAGACGUUGCAAACAUGCACUUAGAUUCUUUGACAAAAAAUUGUUGUCUUGAAGUAAUUAGAGAGUAAUGGUAAGGUGUUGGAUAUGCUCUGACAUGGAUUUACUGUAGAUAAGGAUGUCAUAAAUAAACUAGCACAAAUUGUCUUAGAUGCGGUCUUAGGAGGUCGUUCAUGGCCGCUUGAAA